Molecule: long non-coding RNA, 1884 nt
Filed under: Apteryx rowi (Okarito brown kiwi)
Lineage: Eukaryota; Metazoa; Chordata; Aves; Apterygiformes; Apterygidae
Description: lncRNA (ENSARWG00000005536.1)
Source: RNAcentral
UUAUCCUAGAGCAGACUUCUAAAACUGGUGAGGUAAAGUCCACUGUAGCUUUCUUCAAACUAAAUUUAUGCUGAAAAUAAGGUUUAAUCAGCAAUUACAUUAUAUACUGUUGCUCUGCACAAGUCUGACAGAGCAGUCUCCUCACCCAUGAAAUGGCUGAAAUAAAGAAGUAAAGCAAAUAUAUAAUGAACAGCGCUUUAUUUAAGAGGCGAGUGGCCACACAAGGUACACCUCCCAGCAGAUAAGGUGGAAUCCUUCCUCACCUCGUCCCUACCAGCUCCUGGCUCUAGCUGUGGCCCCAGGAACAGACCUGCCGACCAGCUACUCCACUGUCCUCUAAUGGCUAGUGACAGACACAAGAUAGGAGCAAGGAAAAGCCCAUAACAGAAAGACAGGACAAGUUUACUCCAGCAUCAGGUCCCAAUCCUUAAUAGUUAGAGCUGGCCAGAGUACCUCAGAAGACGACCUACUAUCAUUUCUAAAACAUAUAUUGACUUUUUAAAAUYUGGAUGUUCCUAUCGGCCAUAUAAAUUUCAACGCUUGUUAAUACUGCUGAAUUCUUGACUUAAAUGCCUUCCCAAGUAAUGUGUUCCACAGUCUAGUUGCCCAGUGCCUGAAAGGUAUUUUCUGAAAUCAAUUUCAGUCUUUCAUAACUGAAAGCUUAUCUGUCACAAAAUGUGUCCUCCAGUUGUUCCUGAUGGAAAGAUUGCCAAAUCAGCUCGCAAGGAAGGUGGCUGCCCAUGCCGUGGGGAUACAGCAGAGCUCGGAGCAUCUAAGAGAAAUACGUGAGUGGGGCAGGAUGGCUCACCCAGACCACAGCCUCCACGGCCACCCCGUGCAGAUGGGCAACUUCUCCAUUCCUGAGUUCCUCCUGCCAGGACAAGCUGAGCUGCCAGGCUGGACUUGGGUGCCAGAUGCACCCCAAAACCAAAAGAAGAGGUACAUUGGGGAUACUCCUUUUCUCACUGGUGGCCACAUGAUGCUUAAGUCACUCCUAAGCAUCAUACCAAAGACUGGUGGGCCUUGCAAGCCCUAUCAGUGCAUCGGGCUUAGCAAGUAUAAAAGAUGUGGUUGACCACUGCGCGCAAUGUUUUACGGAGAAAGAGUGUUAGUAGACAGACCUUUUAGUGAGCACCGCAAGAAAGGCCAUUUAGCUGGAGGAAGGGAAAACAAGGCAAUGAAGAUGGAUAGGAUGUGCAGUUGCAGGUUCUCAUCUGCCUUGCAGCAUGACUAGGUAGAGCUGACAAGGAUGAAGUGGUAGGAGCAAAGUGGAAAUUUCCUUUGCCUUGCAGGGAGAAUGAGAACACCCGCAGAAGCCUUCCCAACACCAGCAGGGCACAGGAGAGUUGUCAGAGUGGUGGGAUAGCUACGGAAUUUGUCUUGGUGCUGGCUUUGUGCAAGUGGCGCUGACUCACCAGAGCAAUUCUGGACUCGGGGGCUUUCCAAAAGGCCAAGGCUGAAAUCCCCAGGGAUGUCAGUCUAGACAGGGUGCUCUUCCCUUUGACCUCAUUGGGGGCCUCAGCUUCCUCUUUAUGCAAGUAACUCCAGCUGCCAGGACAGGUUAUUUUGAGCUUCAGAACAGUUAUGAAAGAGCAAUGUGCUGAGGGUUGGAGGAAAAAGAUGCUCUCGUCGUAAGUAUCUUUUUCAGACCACACUUGUACCAGGCUAGUCCUUGCCACUGCUCACAGGAAAGAAUUUUUAUGGCUAAGAUAUUCUAAAGAAACUCAAACAGCCUGAGAAAAGCUCCUUGUCUGACCCUGGGUGAGAGCUUGUAAAGUGAACUCUGAUCCCCCAGGACAACUGGAGGGAAAUCCCAGCCAUCAAAUCCUCUGACAAUUGACAAAGGAGGGACUGCAAAUUAAUCCUGCUCCCCUCACAUCUGAG